RNAcentral lists this ribosomal RNA (510 nucleotides) under uncultured bacterium. RNAcentral describes it as "bacterial SSU rRNA". It matches the Rfam family "Bacterial small subunit ribosomal RNA", at positions 29 to 526 of the family's 1533-position model. The record is from RNAcentral.
AGUGAACGCUGGCGGCGUGGCUUAGGCAUGCAAGUCGAACGCGAAAGGCGCAAGCCGAGUAGAGUGGCGAAAGGGUGAGUAAUGCAUAGAUAACCUACCCUCAGGACCGGAAUAACCACUGGAAACGGUGGCUAAUGCCGGAUGGUCUGAUUGAGCGGCAUCGCUUGAUCAGUAAAUGGUUGCUUCCGGGCUUCUGCCCGAGGAGGGGUCUAUGUCCUAUUAGCUAGUUGGUGAGGUAACGGCUCACCAAGGCGACGAUGGGUAGCCGGACUGAGAGGUCGACCGGCCACACUGGGACUGAGACACUGCCCAGACUCCUACGGGAGGCUGCAGUCGAGAAUCUUCUGCAAUGGACGCAAGUCUGACAGGGCGACGCCGCGUGCAGGAUGAAGGCCUUCGGGUUGUAAACUGCUGUUGCACCUUACGAACACCCGGGAGUGAAUAGCUCUCCGGGGUGACCAGGGUGUGAGGAAGCACAGGCUAACUCCGUGCCAGCAGCCGCAGUAACAC